GUGCUCACUUUGGCAGCACAUAUACUAAAAUUGGAAUGAUGCAGAGAAGAUUAGCAUGGCCCCUGUGCAAAGAUGACAUGCAAGUUCAUGAAGCGUUCCGCCAUGGU
RNAcentral lists this small nuclear RNA (107 nucleotides) under Jaculus jaculus (lesser Egyptian jerboa). Lineage: Eukaryota; Metazoa; Chordata; Mammalia; Rodentia; Dipodidae. The record is from RNAcentral.